UAGUUGGUGGGGUAAUGGCCUACCAAGGCGACGAUGCAUAGCCGGACUGAGAGGUUGAACGGCCACACUGGGACUGAGACACGGCCCAGACUCCUACGGGAGACAGCAGUUAGGAAUAUUCGGCAAUGGGGGAAACCCUGACCGAGCAAUGCCGCGUGUGAGAUGAAGGUCCUUUGGAUUGUAAAUCACUUUUAUUAGGGAAGAAUUGUAAGUAUAGGAAAUGAUAUUUACUUGACGGUACCUUUUGAAUAAGCCCCGGCUAACUACGUGCCAGCAGCCGCGGUAAUACGUAGGGGGCGAGCGUUAUCCGGAUUUAUUGGGCGUAAAGCGUGUGUAGGCGGUUUAUUAAGUCUGAGAUGAAAGGCUGUGGCUUAACCACAGUUUGUUUCAGAAACUGGUAGACUAGAGUAUGGUAGAGGCAAAUGGAAUUCAUAGUGUAGCGGUAAAAUGCGUAGAUAUUAUGAGGAACAUCAGUAGCGAAGGCGAUUUGCUGGGCCAUCACUGACGCUGAGACACGAAAGCGUGGGGAGCAAAUAGGAUUAGAUACCCUAGUAGUCCACGCCGUAAAAGAGGAGUACUAAGUGUCGGGCAACCCGUGGCGAAAGUUACCCCAUUAAGUACUCCGCCUGAGUAGUACGGUCGCAAGACUGAAACUCAAAGGAAUUGACGGGCACCCGCACAAGCGGUGGAGCAUCCCGUUUAAUUCGAAAGUACGCGAAGAACCUUACCAAGGCUUGACAUCCCCGGCAAAGCUAUAGAAAUAUAGUGGAGGCUACCCGGGUGACAGGUGGUGCAUGGUUGUCGUCAGCUCGUGUCGUGAGAUGUUCGGUUAAGUCCGCUAACGAGCGCAACCCUUGUCAUUAGUUACUAACAUUUAGUUGAGGACUCUAAUGAGACUGCCGGUAAUAAACCGGAGGAAGGUGGGGAUGACGUCAAAUCAUCAUGCCCCUUACGUCUUGGGCAACAGGCGUGCUACAAUGGCUGGUACAACGAGUCGCAAUACCGCGAGGUGGAGCUAAUCUAAAAAGCCAGUCGUAGUUCGGAUUGAAGUCUGCAACUCGACUUCAUGAAGCUGAAAUCGCUAGUAAUCCUGGAUCAGAAUGCCAGGGUGAAUACGUUCUCGGGUGUUGUACACACCGCCCGUCAAGG
RNAcentral lists this ribosomal RNA (1149 nucleotides) under uncultured bacterium. Its description in RNAcentral is "bacterial SSU rRNA". It matches the Rfam family "Bacterial small subunit ribosomal RNA", at positions 246 to 1402 of the family's 1533-position model. The record is from RNAcentral.